RNAcentral lists this ribosomal RNA (253 nucleotides) under uncultured bacterium. RNAcentral's name for it is "partial 16S ribosomal RNA". It matches the Rfam family "Bacterial small subunit ribosomal RNA", at positions 524 to 776 of the family's 1533-position model. The record is from RNAcentral.
UACGGGGGGGGCAAGCGUUGUCCGGAUUUAUUGGGCGUAAAGAGCGUGUAGGCGGCCAGGCAGGUCUGUUGUGAAAACUCGAGGCUCAACCUCGAGAUGUCGGCGGAAACCAUCUGGCUAGAGUCCGGAAGAGGAGAAUGGAAUUCCCGGUGUAGCGGUGAAAUGCGCAGAUAUCGGGAAGAACACCCGUGGCGAAGGCGGUUCUCUGGGACGGUACUGACGCUGAGACGCGAAAGCGUGGGGAGCGAACAGG